GAUGAACGCUGGCGGCGUGCCUAAUACAUGCAAGUCGAGCGAACAGACGAGGAGCUUGCUCCUCUGACGUUAGCGGCGGACGGGUGAGUAACACGUGGAUAACCUACCUAUAAGACUGGGAUAACUUCGGGAAACCGGAGCUAAUACCGGAUAAUAUAUUGAACCGCAUGGUUCAAUAGUGAAAGACGGUUUUGCUGUCACUUAUAGAUGGAUCCGCGCCGCAUUAGCUUGUUGGUAAGGUAACGGCUUACCAAGGCAACGAUGCGUAGCCGACCUGAGAGGGUGAUCGGCCACACUGGAACUGAGACACGGUCCAGACUCCUACGGGAGGCAGCAGUAGGGAAUCUUCCGCAAUGGGCGAAAGCCUGACGGAGCAACGCCGCGUGAGUGAUGAAGGUCUUCGGAUCGUAAAACUCUGUUAUUAGGGAAGAACAAAUGUGUAAGUAACUAUGCACGUCUUGACGGUACCAAAUCAGAAAGCCACGGCUAACUACGUG
RNAcentral lists this ribosomal RNA (497 nucleotides) under uncultured bacterium. Its description in RNAcentral is "partial 16S ribosomal RNA". It matches the Rfam family "Bacterial small subunit ribosomal RNA", at positions 28 to 507 of the family's 1533-position model. The record is from RNAcentral.